This 301-nucleotide ribosomal RNA is filed under the name uncultured bacterium. RNAcentral describes it as "partial 16S ribosomal RNA". It matches the Rfam family "Bacterial small subunit ribosomal RNA", at positions 509 to 807 of the family's 1533-position model. The record is from RNAcentral.
CAGCCGCCGCGGGAAUACGUAGGGUGCGAGCGUUAAUCGGAAUUACUGGGCGUAAAGCGUGCGCAGGCGGUUAUGCAAGACAGAUGUGAAAUCCCCGGGCUUAACCUGGGAACUGCAUUUGUGACUGCAUGGCUAGAGUGCGGCAGAGGGGGAUGGAAUUCCGCGUGUAGCAGUGAAAUGCGUAGAUAUGCGGAGGAACACCGAUGGCGAAGGCAAUCCCCUGGGCCUGCACUGACGCUCAUGCACGAAAGCGUGGGGAGCAACCAGGAUUAGAGACCCCAGUAGUCCCUGUCUCUUAUAC